RNAcentral lists this ribosomal RNA (465 nucleotides) under uncultured bacterium. Its description in RNAcentral is "partial 16S ribosomal RNA". It matches the Rfam family "Bacterial small subunit ribosomal RNA", at positions 28 to 506 of the family's 1533-position model. The record is from RNAcentral.
GACGAACGCUGGCGGCGUGCUUAACACAUGCAAGUCGAACGGUAAGGCUCCAGCUUGCUGGGGUACACGAGUGGCGAACGGGUGAGUAACACGUGGGUGACCUGCCCUGCACUUCGGGAUAAGCCUGGGAAACUGGGUCUAAUACCGGAUAGGACCAUGGUGUGGAUACUGUGGUGGAAAGUUUUUUCGGUGUGGGAUGGGCCCGCGGCCUAUCAGCUUGUUGGUGGGGUAAUGGCCUACCAAGGCGGCGACGGGUAGCCGGCCUGAGAGGGUGGACGGCCAAAAUGGGAAUGGGAAAACGCCCAGACUCCCACGGGGGGGAGGAGUGGGGAAUAUUGGACAAUGGGGGGAAGGCUGAAUCAGGGACGCCGGGGGGGGGAUGACGGCCUUCGGGUUGUAAACUCCUUUCACCAUCGACGAAGGGUUUCUGACGGUAGAUGGAGAAGAAGCACCGGCUAACUACGU